UACGGAGGGUGCAAGCGUUGUUCGGAAUUACUGGGCGUAAAGCGCGUGUAGGCGGCCUGCUAAGUCCGAUGUGAAAUCCCGGGGCUCACCCCCGGAAGUGCAUCGGAUACUGGUGAGCUAGAGUACCGGAGAGGAGGACGGAAUUCCUGGUGUAGCGGUGAAAUGCGUAGAUAUCAGGAGGAACACCGGUGGCGAAGGCGGUCCUCUGGACGGAUACUGACGCUGAGACGCGAAAGCGUGGGGAGCAAACAGG
RNAcentral lists this ribosomal RNA (253 nucleotides) under uncultured bacterium. RNAcentral's name for it is "partial 16S ribosomal RNA". It matches the Rfam family "Bacterial small subunit ribosomal RNA", at positions 524 to 776 of the family's 1533-position model. The record is from RNAcentral.